RNAcentral lists this ribosomal RNA (2525 nucleotides) under Staphylococcus aureus. Its description in RNAcentral is "partial 23S ribosomal RNA". It matches the Rfam family "Bacterial large subunit ribosomal RNA", at positions 492 to 2925 of the family's 2925-position model. The record is from RNAcentral. Lineage: Bacteria; Bacillati; Bacillota; Bacilli; Caryophanales; Staphylococcaceae.
GAACCAGUACCGUGAGGGAAAGGUGAAAAGCACCCCGGAAGGGGAGUGAAAUAGAACCUGAAACCGUGUGCUUACAAGUAGUCAGAGCCCGUUAAUGGGUGAUGGCGUGCCUUUUGUAGAAUGAACCGGCGAGUUACGAUUUGAUGCAAGGUUAAGCAGUAAAUGUGGAGCCGUAGCGAAAGCGAGUCUGAAUAGGGCGUUUAGUAUUUGGUCGUAGACCCGAAACCAGGUGAUCUACCCUUGGUCAGGUUGAAGUUCAGGUAACACUGAAUGGAGGACCGAACCGACUUACGUUGAAAAGUGAGCGGAUGAACUGAGGGUAGCGGAGAAAUUCCAAUCGAACCUGGAGAUAGCUGGUUCUCUCCGAAAUAGCUUUAGGGCUAGCCUCAAGUGAUGAUUAUUGGAGGUAGAGCACUGUUUGGACGAGGGGCCCCUCUCGGGUUACCGAAUUCAGACAAACUCCGAAUGCCAAUUAAUUUAACUUGGGAGUCAGAACAUGGGUGAUAAGGUCCGUGUUCGAAAGGGAAACAGCCCAGACCACCAGCUAAGGUCCCAAAAUAUAUGUUAAGUGGAAAAGGAUGUGGCGUUGCCCAGACAACUAGGAUGUUGGCUUAGAAGCAGCCAUCAUUUAAAGAGUGCGUAAUAGCUCACUAGUCGAGUGACACUGCGCCGAAAAUGUACCGGGGCUAAACAUAUUACCGAAGCUGUGGAUUGUCCUUUGGACAAUGGUAGGAGAGCGUUCUAAGGGCGUUGAAGCAUGAUCGUAAGGACAUGUGGAGCGCUUAGAAGUGAGAAUGCCGGUGUGAGUAGCGAAAGACGGGUGAGAAUCCCGUCCACCGAUUGACUAAGGUUUCCAGAGGAAGGCUCGUCCGCUCUGGGUUAGUCGGGUCCUAAGCUGAGGCCGACAGGCGUAGGCGAUGGAUAACAGGUUGAUAUUCCUGUACCACCUAUAAUCGUUUUAAUCGAUGGGGGGACGCAGUAGGAUAGGCGAAGCGUGCGAUUGGAUUGCACGUCUAAGCAGUAAGGCUGAGUAUUAGGCAAAUCCGGUACUCAUUAAGGCUGAGCUGUGAUGGGGAGAAGACAUUGUGUCUUCGAGUCGUUGAUUUCACACUGCCGAGAAAAGCCUCUAGAUAGAAAAUAGGUGCCCGUACCGCAAACCGACACAGGUAGUCAAGAUGAGAAUUCUAAGGUGAGCGAGCGAACUCUCGUUAAGGAACUCGGCAAAAUGACCCCGUAACUUCGGGAGAAGGGGUGCUCUUUAGGGUUAACGCCCAGAAGAGCCGCAGUGAAUAGGCCCNNNNNNNNNNNNNNNNNNNNNNNNNNNNNNNNNNNNNNNNNNNNNNNNNNNNNNNNNNNNNNNNNNNNNNNNNNNNNNNNNNNNNNNNNNNNNNNCUCCAAGCGACUGUUUAUCAAAAACACAGGUCUCUGCUAAACCGUAAGGUGAUGUAUAGGGGCUGACGCCUGCCCGGUGCUGGAAGGUUAAGAGGAGUGGUUAGCUUCUGCGAAGCUACGAAUCGAAGCCCCAGUAAACGGCGGCCGUAACUAUAACGGUCCUAAGGUAGCGAAAUUCCUUGUCGGGUAAGUUCCGACCCGCACGAAAGGCGUAACGAUUUGGGCACUGUCUCAACGAGAGACUCGGUGAAAUCAUAGUACCUGUGAAGAUGCAGGUUACCCGCGACAGGACGGAAAGACCCCGUGGAGCUUUACUGUAGCCUGAUAUUGAAAUUCGGCACAGCUUGUACAGGAUAGGUAGGAGCCUUUGAAACGUGAGCGCUAGCUUACGUGGAGGCGCUGGUGGGAUACUACCCUAGCUGUGUUGGCUUUCUAACCCGCACCACUUAUCGUGGUGGGAGACAGUGUCAGGCGGGCAGUUUGACUGGGGCGGUCGCCUCCUAAAAGGUAACGGAGGCGCUCAAAGGUUCCCUCAGAAUGGUUGGAAAUCAUUCAUAGAGUGUAAAGGCAUAAGGGAGCUUGACUGCGAGACCUACAAGUCGAGCAGGGUCGAAAGACGGACUUAGUGAUCCGGUGGUUCCGCAUGGAAGGGCCAUCGCUCAACGGAUAAAAGCUACCCCGGGGAUAACAGGCUUAUCUCCCCCAAGAGUUCACAUCGACGGGGAGGUUUGGCACCUCGAUGUCGGCUCAUCGCAUCCUGGGGCUGUAGUCGGUCCCAAGGGUUGGGCUGUUCGCCCAUUAAAGCGGUACGCGAGCUGGGUUCAGAACGUCGUGAGACAGUUCGGUCCCUAUCCGUCGUGGGCGUAGGAAAUUUGAGAGGAGCUGUCCUUAGUACGAGAGGACCGGGAUGGACAUACCUCUGGUGUACCAGUUGUCGUGCCAACGGCAUAGCUGGGUAGCUAUGUGUGGACGGGAUAAGUGCUGAAAGCAUCUAAGCAUGAAGCCCCCCUCAAGAUGAGAUUUCCCAACUUCGGUUAUAAGAUCCCUCAAAGAUGAUGAGGUUAAUAGGUUCGAGGUGGAAGCAUGGUGACAUGUGGAGCUGACGAAUACUAAUCGAUCGAAGACUUAAUCAA